UGCCAGCAGCCGCGGUAAUACUAAAGGUGCAAGCGUUAAUCGGAAUUACUGGGCGUAAAGCGCGCGUAGGCGGUUUGGUAAGUCAAAUGUGAAAUCCCCAGGCUCAACCUGGGAACUGCAUUCGAUACUGCCAGGCUAGAGUGUGUAAGAGGAUAGUGGAAUUCCGGGUGUAGCGGUGAAAUGCGUAGAUAUCCGGAGGAACAUCAGUGGCGAAGGCGACUAUCUGGUACAACACUGACGCUGAGGUGCGAAAGCGUGGGGAGCAAACAGGAUUAGAUA
Molecule: ribosomal RNA, 279 nt
Filed under: uncultured bacterium
Lineage: Bacteria
Description: partial 16S ribosomal RNA
Rfam family: Bacterial small subunit ribosomal RNA
Source: RNAcentral